This 941-nucleotide long non-coding RNA is filed under the name Callithrix jacchus (white-tufted-ear marmoset). RNAcentral describes it as "lncRNA (ENSCJAG00000073969.1)". The record is from RNAcentral. Lineage: Eukaryota; Metazoa; Chordata; Mammalia; Primates; Cebidae.
GCCCAUCCCCCACACCUCUAUGUGGAGGGCAGGCCAGUCCACAAGAAGCAAUCCCAUCCCCUUCUGGAUGACUGACGCAGUCCGAACUCGAAGAACCCCAUCACCCUUGCCGAGCCCAGGGUAACGCUGCAAGUAGCGGGUUAGAUCGAAGCUUCCCCACCUCCUGGAAGACAGCAGACAUGGAGGCCUCCCUCCUUACUCAAGAAAUCAUCCCUUGCUUCGGCCUACCUGCCACCAUCCAGUGAGACAACAGUCCAGCAUUUACGGCCCAAGUAGUCCAGCUAGUCGCCAAGUCCCUCAACAUCUCCCGGAAACUGCACAUCCCUUACCAUCCUCAGUAGUUGGGUAAAGUUGAAUGGGCCCACGGCAUCCUCAAAGACCAUUUGGCCAAACUCGCUAUUGAGGUAAAACUCUCUUGGCCCACACUCCUACCUCUUGCCCUGGCCCGGGUCCAGGCCACCGCAUGGGGGCCAAUGGGCCUUAGCCCCUUCAAAUUGCUAUAAGGCCAGCCUUUUCUGGUUUCUCACAACCUCCCUGUAAACCCCCCUCCACUGGCUUCCUACCUUCCCUGCCUCUCCCUCCUCUGUCACCUGUUAAGGGAACUUGCAGACUGCUCCCUCCCUGUUGUUCCAGGACCAGAAGACUCCCACCCAGCGGUGCCUCUCUAACCGGGUGACAACGUUCUCCUCCAAGAACUCAAACCAGGAUCCUUGCAACCCAGAAUCCUGGACUGAGGGCCCCACCACCAGGACCCAUUAUCUUGCACAGGCAAACUGCCAAACAGGAAGUAGCCAGAAAGAAGUGGUGUCCUACAUCAUCAAAAGGGUCGGAAUGUAAGGCCGGUUGCCUUGCCAGGAGGCCGGAUACACCCACCUCUGCACUCAGCACCUGACUGCACUCAGCACCUGACUGCACUCAGCACCUAGCUCUGCCCCAUGGCU